This is a long non-coding RNA of Pocillopora damicornis (cauliflower coral), 804 nucleotides long. The record is from RefSeq and is a predicted model, not a curated record. Lineage: Eukaryota; Metazoa; Cnidaria; Anthozoa; Scleractinia; Pocilloporidae.
GCUGUAAAUUGCUUUGGAUUUCUUGACGUAGGUGGAACGUUCGACCGCGAAGACUUCCUGACUGUCACCCUCGAACUCUGCAAGAUAGUUCUUCCACUUUUCACUAGGGUUAGUUUCAACCGAAGCACUUCCAAUCUUACGAAAGCUCUCCUUUACAGCAACUCUUGCAAAUCCUGCACAAUUAAAAAUGACAGACAUUUUCGUUUCACACGAAUACACUUAGCUCGUUAUCGAGUAGUACCGUUGUUAGGGAACAAAACCCUGAAGAGUUUCAAGGAAUCAGUGCGAUAACUUUCAAGUUUUGCGCCAAAAUUGCAAUUGUGUUUUAUUAGAACUGUCAAAGGCGAUCUAACCCUGGAUUUACAGAGAUGCAAUCGACCUCAGAAAACGAGAAAAAGAAAUAAAUAUCACCAAAAGAACCUGUGGGAUUACUUUCGUUGAUAGCGGUUGGAACCAGGUAAAGGCUAAGAUGUUUUCGGGCGAAAACCAUGAUAGAUGAAGCAGCUUCGCAGAGACAAAACUUGAUUUAAUCUGCCUAGCACAUCUCUCUUUUUUUUGGCAGCCAUUCCAAGUGGGAAAACAAUGAAAAACGUCUCAAAUAUUCAUAGCGAUAACUGCAUUUUGAUUUGCCUUGUGUUUUGUGGUGGGAAUUUGUUCAAGAAAGCAACCGACGAAUUUGGCGCCUAAAUUAACUGUUUUUGGCUGUUGAGAGUAUCAUAUUACGCUGCCACAAUUCAGUCCGAGAGAGAUGGUAGUGAUACACAUUUCUGCCAAGUAUGAGAAAAAUCCCUCGCAAAAUAGCUA